RNAcentral lists this ribosomal RNA (253 nucleotides) under uncultured bacterium. Its description in RNAcentral is "partial 16S ribosomal RNA". It matches the Rfam family "Bacterial small subunit ribosomal RNA", at positions 524 to 776 of the family's 1533-position model. The record is from RNAcentral.
UACGAAGGGUGCCAACGUUGCUCGGAAUUAUUGGGCGUAAAGCGCACGUAGGCGGCUUGGCAAGUCGGAUGUGAAAUCCCUCGGCUCAACCAAGGAAGUGCAUCCGAAACUGCCGAGCUUGAGUACUUAAGAGGAUCGCGGAAUUCCCGGUGUAGAGGUGAAAUUCGUAGAUAUCGGGAGGAACACCAGUGGCGAAGGCGGCGAUCUGGGAAGAUACUGACGCUGAGGUGCGAAAGCGUGGGGAGCAAACAGG